RNAcentral lists this ribosomal RNA (1857 nucleotides) under Triticum aestivum (bread wheat). RNAcentral describes it as "partial small subunit ribosomal RNA". Lineage: Eukaryota; Viridiplantae; Streptophyta; Magnoliopsida; Poales; Poaceae. The record is from RNAcentral.
AUGAACACUUGUGGAAGUAUCCUAAUCACCACUACUCGUAUGACUGAUGUUGCUCGGGCAUGUUGUUCAUCAUUUGUUGGUCACAUCUACAAUAUGAGGCCUCUUGAUAUGGCACAGUCAAGAAAACUAUUUUACACAAGACUAGACUCCAAAGAAGAUUGCCUUGAGCACCUUGAAGAAGUUUGUGAUCAAAUUUUAGAAAAAUGUGCCGGUUCACCUUUGGCAAUCAUUGCUAUAUCUGGUUUGUUGGCUAACAGAGAAAAUACCAUUGAAGAAUGGGAUAGAGUGAAAAAUUCAAUUGGACGUACACUUGAAAGAAAUGCUACCGUGGAAUUAAUGAUGAAGAUAUUAUCACUUAGCUAUUUUGAUCUUCCUGCUCAUCUGAAGACUUGUCUACUGUAUCUGAGUAUAUUUCCAGAGGACUAUAUUAUUGAGAAGAAGGACCUGAUAAGGAGAUGGAUUGGUGAAGGGUUCAUACGUAAAGAGGGCAGAUAUACAUUAUAUGAGUUAGGACAAAGGUAUUUUAAUGAGCUAAUCAAUAGGAGUCUGGUCCAGCCUGUUAAGUCAAAUGAACAUGGUGUGGUGAUGAGUUGUCGAGUUCAUGACACAAUUCUUGAUUUCAUCACAUCCAAGUCCAUUGAAGAGAACUUUGUUACUUUCAAUGGUCUUCCGGAUCUAAACACUGUGACACAGCGCAAAGUUCGUCGUCUAUCUCUCCAAGUUGGGAAUCAAGGAAAUUCUUCAAAUAGCUUGUUGUUGUCUCAUGUCCGAUCAAUUAAUGUGUUUGGGUAUUCCGGAGAAAUUCCUUCUCUGGAUAAGUUCAAGUAUUCGCGUGUUUUAGACUUUGGAGGCUUUAGCCAACUGGAGAGCCAUCAUCUUGCAAAUAUAGGGAGAUUGUUUCAGUUAAAGCACCUGAACUUGAGAAACACAAGAAUAAAUGAGUUAUCAGAACAAAUCGGACUUCUAGUGUUCUUACAGAUGCUGGACAUAAGAGGCACAUACGUGAAUAAAUUACCUGCAUCUAUUGCUAAUCUCAGAAGAUUGGUGUAUCUCCUCACGGACACGGGUGUUAUAUUUCCAGAUGGAAUUGCCAAGAUGCAAGCACUGGAGAUACUGAAGCGGGUCGCAGUCUUCAAGCAAUCAGUUAACUUUCUGCAAGAAGUUGGCCAACUAAAGAAUAUGCGAAAGCUGAUCCUAGAUUGUGAAGAAAAUACAGCAGCAGUUAAGGAGCAGGGUGAUGCAACGGGAGUUAAGGAGGAGCGCAAUAAAGCUAUUGGCUGUUCUCUCCAUAAACUGUGGACACAGAACAUUGGUUCUGUAACUAUUUGGAAUCAUGAAUGCCGUAUCUCGGUGGAACCAAAGAGCAAGAAACUUAUGGGUGGGGCACCGCAAGUUCAGAGUUGGAUGGGCUUCCUCAUCAAUCUCCAAGAGUUGCAGCUUGAAGUGCAGGGAGUCGACCAGGAACAUAUCUGCAUCCUUGGAGGCUUACCAGCUCUGAUUGUCCUGAAGAUGAAAGUAGCAGCAAAGGGUAAUGACCUGCUCAGAGUCAGUGGUGCAGUUGGGUUCCCAUGCUUGAGGGAGUUACUUUAUCAUAAAGUACUGUUUGGAGGGAUGGAUCUAUUGUUUGAACCAGGAUCCAUGCCCAAGCUAGAGAAACUUGAUCUUCUGUUCAACGCAGCGGAAUGUGACUCUCUCAGCAGCGAAGCUUUCGAUCUCGGAAUCGGUAACCUCCUCAACCUCGGCAGUGUCAAAUGUGAAGUACGUGGCUGGCUCAACAGUGCUGUUUCAGCAGCAAAGGCUUAUUUGGAGAAAACAGCCAGGACACAUCCCAACUGCCCUACUCUACUGCUUGCAUAG